This is a non-coding RNA of Nerophis lumbriciformis (worm pipefish), 531 nucleotides long. NCBI's taxonomy places the organism in Eukaryota, Metazoa, Chordata, Actinopteri, Syngnathiformes, Syngnathidae. The record is from RefSeq and is a predicted model, not a curated record.
GGCAGCGGGAAAUGGACAACACACCGACGGCCCCGGACUAAAGGCAAUUCUUCCGUUUUGGCCAAGCACGCAGCGACUGAAUAGGUUUAUUUCGAAACAGGCAAAGGAGCGGGAAAAGUGGCACAAGGUUGCGGUAGAUAAUGUUCACUCACUUACCUCGGUCUCUCCCGAAGCCAUGGUGCCUGGACCUAAACCCCGCCCAUACAUGAUGACGUCACCAAGAUCGAUUCUUUUUUCUUUUUUUUCAACAGUCCUGUCAUGAAGGAAUCUUUAUGGCUUACAGGGACUGUUGAAUAUGCUGAUAAUGAUAUAGAUACAUUUUUUUUGCAGCGUAUUGCAGGUCCGAGAUCCUUCUAAAUGUUAUGUAGUACUCAAGAUCAAUAAGGAUGGUAAUAAUCCGUGAUCGGAUUUGUCUUCAACAUGGACACAUGGAUGUUGAUGAUUCCGGAACUGCUCCAAGUUCAUCGCUAUGUGCUCAACCACAGGUUCAUCCAGGAUCCCUAGGAGCUCCUAUUUAAUUCAAUCAGAGUU